This 973-nucleotide long non-coding RNA is filed under the name Homo sapiens (human). RNAcentral describes it as "long intergenic non-protein coding RNA 2669". The record is from RNAcentral. Lineage: Eukaryota; Metazoa; Chordata; Mammalia; Primates; Hominidae.
AUACUUGGAGGCCAUGUCACCUGAGAGUCAAUGGGCAACGAUCAAAUUUCACCUUGAGCAGAUUCUUUUGUUUGCUUUUUAGUCACAAAUAGCUUGGCCCUAAGUGGUGGCUCCCAUUCUUGUAAGAUGCGUUUAUUCAUCGUGUAAUCACCAGUUCCCUGUAGUGGGGGCGUGGAUGGAGUGUCAGAGGCUCCUGCUGGUCUUUAGGGUGUCUGGCCUCCAGGAAUCCUAGAGGUAGUAUUUGGAGAGAUUUUUAAAAGCUUUGUUUCUGUGACCAGCAAAACCUGGAUUUGACACUGAGGUCAGCCCGUUUCAGCCAGUGACGUAACCUGUCUUUUUGCCCCAGUAAAUUGGGAACUACAGCACUCGAUGUUAGAGUUGUCGUGAAGAUUAAAGAAGGUGACGACUGGACAACUCCCAGCCCAAUACCUGAAACUGUACCAGCACCCAGUGAGCACUGCUAUUCCUGUGACUGCUGCACAUUUGCCUUAUCUCAGCAGUAUGCCUGUGUCACUUUUUUGUGAAGAGAACAUCCCGUGUACUAUCGUGUAGAAGUUGUAGUAGACGCUGUGGUCUUUCCAACAACAAACAAACUGCUGGGACAGGACCCAGGAGGUUCCGGAGGAUCAGGAGGUCCACCUGGGAGAAGAGCUGAUCGGCUAGUAGGAGAGCUGGAAAAGCAACAGACACCUACUUAGUCCCUUCCCUGGGGCCCGGCUCCAGUCUGAGCUGUCACGCCACAGCAAAGGCAUCACUUCAGGACAGCAAAGCCCCUGUCUCCCUCCCUUCCAGCUCCUCAGACUUCACCCUGGUAACACGUUUGUUUAAAAAACAUAUUUUUCCCCCUUGUAAAGAAUCUAGGAUACAAGGGGUCAGCCCAGCAGUUUAGGUAUCAAGAAGAAACUGCUCUCGGAGCUAAAGUAAGAAACAGUGCCUGUCUAUAGCGCAAAUAAAGAGUUGGAACAAGAUAAAA